Xenia sp. Carnegie-2017 is the source of this 668-nucleotide long non-coding RNA. RefSeq lists it as uncharacterized. The transcript is spliced from 2 exons. NCBI's taxonomy places the organism in Eukaryota, Metazoa, Cnidaria, Anthozoa, Malacalcyonacea, Xeniidae. The record is from RefSeq and is a predicted model, not a curated record.
AAAAAAACUUAGUUUACUUCGCUUCUUCAACUACAUUCACCACAAAUUUUUACGUAAAAUGCCAAAAAAAGUUUCAAGAAGAGGACGGUAAGCAUUCAGUCAUUAUUGAAACCACGUCCAUAAAUAUCGAAGGACUAACUGCGCCAUUGCUGACAACCCGUCAUAUUGCGUAGCAAGUGUAAUUUCGGAACCUGGCAAAAUUAUUGUUAAUAAUUUACUGUAUGUGAUGAAAUACUGAUAAUAAGUUUUUCGCAUUUCCUUCGUUUUAUUGCCUUAUAACUCUUCAGGUCGACAACAUAUGUAGUCGAAUCGUAAUAACAAAUAUUUUAAAUAAUUAAAUUAAUCUUAAUGCUACAUUUAAUGCAAUUCUGAUGAAAAUAUCAUUUGCUAAACUUUAUGUUAAGUGAAAACUUGGUAAUUUUGGUGCGUAUGCCGCCCAAAUUGAUGAUUUUAUUGGCAUUUAUGAAUCAUGAAACAUAUUACUGUAAUGGAUAAAGCAUUUACAAAAAGAUGGAGAUAUAUGACAUAAAAACUUAGUAUUUCUUCCUACAAUGCACAUACUUUUUAUAAAACCUAAAAUGUCAAAUUGACAUUGUAGUUAAGAAUACAACCACUAAUUUCUGGUAAAAGAUAUAUUGUGCUUUUCAAUAAAUGGCAUGAAAUUAUAA